This 512-nucleotide ribosomal RNA is filed under the name uncultured bacterium. RNAcentral describes it as "partial 16S ribosomal RNA". It matches the Rfam family "Bacterial small subunit ribosomal RNA", at positions 28 to 523 of the family's 1533-position model. The record is from RNAcentral.
GAUGAACGCUGGCGGCGUGCCUAAUACAUGCAAGUCGAGCGAAUGACGAGGAGCUUGCUCCUCUGAUUUAGCGGCGGACGGGUGAGUAACACGUGGGUAACCUGCCUGUAAGACGGGGAUAACUCCGGGAAACCGGAGCUAAUACCGGAUGAUAACGAGAAGCGCCUGCUUCUUGUUUGAAAGUCGGUUUCGGCUGACGCUUACAGAUGGGCCCGCGGCGCAUUAGCUAGUUGGUGGGGUAACGGGUCACCAAGGCGACGAUGCGUAGCCGACCUGAGAGGGUGAUCGGCCACACUGGGACUGAGACACGGCCCAGACUCCUACGGGAGGCAGCAGUAGGGAAUCUUCGGCAAUGGACGAAAGUCUGACCGAGCAACGCCGCGUGAGCGAUGAAGGCCUUCGGGUCGUAAAGCUCUGUUGUCAGAGAAGAACAAGUACCGGAGUAACUGCCGGUACCUUGACGGUACUUGACCAGAAAGCCACGGCUAACUACGUGCCAGCCGCCGCAGUAA